Molecule: transfer RNA, 72 nt
Filed under: Chelonia mydas (Green sea turtle)
Lineage: Eukaryota; Metazoa; Chordata; Testudines; Cheloniidae
Rfam family: tRNA
About the family: Transfer RNA (tRNA) molecules are approximately 80 nucleotides in length. Their secondary structure includes four short double-helical elements and three loops (D, anti-codon, and T loops).
Source: Rfam by way of RNAcentral
GGAAGGGUGGCCCAGUGGUUAGGCCGUUCGCCUGGGACUUGGGCAGCCUGGGUUUAAUUCCCUGCUCUGCCA